GCAAGUCGAGGGGCAGCAUUUCCAGUUUGCUGGAAGAUGGCGACCGGCGCACGGGUGAGUAACGCGUAUGCAACCUACCUUACAUGGGGGGAUAGCCCAGAGAAAUCUGGAUUAAUACCGCAUGAUAUAUGUGAAUCGCAUGGUUAAAAUAUUAAAACUCCGGUGAUGUAAGAUGGGCAUGCGUAGCAUUAGUUAGUUGGUGAGGUAACGGCUUACCAAGACGAUGAUGCUUAGGGGGUCUGAGAGGAUAGUC
This 253-nucleotide ribosomal RNA is filed under the name uncultured bacterium. Its description in RNAcentral is "partial 16S ribosomal RNA". It matches the Rfam family "Bacterial small subunit ribosomal RNA", at positions 57 to 305 of the family's 1533-position model. The record is from RNAcentral.